Long non-coding RNA from Phascolarctos cinereus (koala), 2263 nucleotides. RefSeq lists it as uncharacterized. The record is from RefSeq and is a predicted model, not a curated record. Lineage: Eukaryota; Metazoa; Chordata; Mammalia; Diprotodontia; Phascolarctidae.
GUAAUCUCAUUUUGCUUUCUGUGUGUGGCCUCUGACCUGCGGGUGGUAUAUCGGAGGAGCAGCCCCCCUUCUCGGCAGAUUGUAAUAAAGAGUAACUUUUGCUUCCACCUGGAGAAGUCUCUGAGUUUGAGUUAGGGUCGCUUUGGAGAUUCCACGGAGACCCGCCCACUCGUGAGCGAGACUCCACGUGCCAUCGGAGAGAUUUCUCCAGCAGCCCUCAGGCCAGACAUAGGGAGCCUUCCCUCCGGCUGGGUAAAGUCUGGAAGAGAGAAACUCGGGGAAGCAAAUGUGAAAGAAUGGCAGCAACAAGAUAUUUUGUGAAGUCCGCGGGCAGCAGCGAUUAAGGUGCAGGGGCAUCGGAUCAGUCACGUGCCUCACUUGGAGCAGGCUGCAAGUGGCGCCUGAACAGGGACCUGAAAGACGAUACGAGGAGAGCAGCUCUCUUGGUGCUCUGGAGAAGAAAAAGAAAAACCUUGGCGGCUCAGUGCUGUAGGAACAAGGAAGCCUGGCCAUAUGAAGAAGGAAUGUAGGACCCCUUGAAAGGCAUCAUCACAGCCCGCCACUACUCCUUGUCCUAGGUGUCAAAGGGGAAAUCGUUGGGCAUCACAGUGCAGAUCUACUACAGAUGUUAAUGGGCAGCCUUUAAACCCCCGGUGAGGCUUGCUCCGGCCCCAUCAAACAAUAGGGCCAGUUCUUUCAUUACUACUCCCAGUCCCUGCUCCACGCCCACAAGACUCAUAAUAACAGACCUUAUUCAUGCCACCCCGGGUAGUGCUGGACUAGAUUUCAGUUCCAGUCUUGAUAAGGACAUCGGGGGUGAAGUGGUCUGCAUUCCCACUGGAGUACGUGGCCCAUUACCCCUGGAGAUGGUGGGUCUUAUGCUAGGUCGUAGUUCCCAGACACUUUGGGGACUCACGGUCAUCCCUGGAGUGGUGGAUUCUGAUUACACUGGAUAAAUUGAGGUUAUGGUAUAUGCUUUUCCCUGUUGUCGUUUUUUCAUUCAAAAUGGGGAGAGGCAAGCACGAAUGAUUGUAAUGGACUAUAAAAAACUGGGAAAAACAACAGAAGAAAUAAGGGGGACAGAAGGAUUUGGUAGUACAGGACUGUUUUGGCAUAGAACUAUCACAGACCCUCGACCAAGCUUAAAAAUAGAAGUACAAGGAAAAGAAUUUGAAGGGCUAAUAGACACAGGAGCUGAUAAGUCAGUUAUCAGUUUAUGGGUCUGGCCUAGGGAAUGGCCACUAGAUGAAGGGAAUGUGAUGUUACAGGGAAUAGGAGAAAUAGCUGCUUUUGCACAAACUGCGGUGUGGCUUAUGUGGAAAGUAGAAGGACAUUGAGGAAGAUUUAGACCAUAUGUACUACCACAUAUUCCAUGUUGGCUUUGGGGAAGGGAUUUGUUGAAAAACAUGAAUGUUACAAUAAAUAGCAAAAAUUUUUAGUAGGGGUCAUGGCCAAAGAGAAAAGAAUCGUACAAGUACCAAAGAUCACAUGGAAAGAAGGGCCUCCCAUUUGGGUGGAUCAGUGACCCCUUAAUUUAGAAAAAAUCAGGGUUCUUCAAGAUAUAAUAACUGGACAAUUAGCAGCAGGUCAUAUAGAAUUUUCCACUAGUCCAUGGACUUCUCAUAUAUUUGCUAUUAAGAAAAAAUCAGGUAAAUGGAGAAUGUUAACAGAUCUCAGACAAGUUAAUGCCUGUAUGGAAACUAUGGGAGCUUUACAACCAGGAUUGCCUUCUCCAGUUGCAGAAGAGGAUGAGGGGAAAGGUGUAUUCCCUUUCUCUUAAACAACAGAACUGGAGGAAGCUCAUUCUCCAAAGGAGUUGUCUGAUUUGUGUAGGGGAUUUCUGACUAGUCUUCCUGUCAUUAUGUUAUCUGUUCUAUGUGAGUGUCUGUGUGUAUGUGUGUAAUCUGAAACCUUUUGCGGCUAGCUAGCUUUCUCUCCUUCCCCCUCCCUACUACCAGCCGCCUCCCGGGAGCGGGUGGAUGGGGGUGAGAUGGAGAGGAAAAAUAUUUUAUUAUUUACAUCAUAUGAUUGAUAAAAGAGAAGAAAGUUUAAGCAUGCAAUAAUGAGAGAAGUAGGGGUAGAAAGAAUAGCAUAAUCUGUCUGCAUUAAUAGCAUGAAUGGAAGAUUUGAGAAUAAAUGAUUUGAAAACUUUUGAAGAGUUAUUAGGAAGAAAUUCUCUUUUUUUUGAGAAUAAAUGAUUUGAAAACUUUUGAAGAGUUAUUAGGAAGAAAUUCUCUCUCUCUCUUUUUUUUUUUUUGCAUUC